RNAcentral lists this unclassified non-coding RNA (206 nucleotides) under soil metagenome. RNAcentral describes it as "partial contains 5.8S ribosomal RNA, internal transcribed spacer 2, and large subunit ribosomal RNA". The record is from RNAcentral.
AACAUCGCGCACCUGCGGGAACCUGCGGAAGGAUCAUUACCGAGUUUACAACUCCCAAACCCCUGUGAACAUACCACUUGUUGCCUCGGCGGAUCAGCCCGCUCCCGGUAAAACGGGACGGCCCGCCAGAGGACCCCUAAACUCUGUUUCUAUAUGUAACUUCUGAGUAAAACCAUAAAUAAAUCAAAACUUUCAGCAACGGAUCU